UACGAAGGGGGCUAGCGUUGUUCGGAAUUACUGGGCGUAAAGGGCGCGUAGGCGGCCUGCUAAGUCGAACGUGAAAUCCCCGAGCUCAACUCGGGAACUGCGUCCAAUACUGGCAGGCUUGAAUCCGGGAGAGGGAUGCGGAAUUCCAGGUGUAGCGGUGAAAUGCGUAGAUAUCUGGAGGAACACCGGUGGCGAAGGCGGCAUCCUGGACCGGCAUUGACGCUGAGGCGCGAAAGCCAGGGGAGCAAACGGG
This 253-nucleotide ribosomal RNA is filed under the name uncultured bacterium. RNAcentral's name for it is "partial 16S ribosomal RNA". It matches the Rfam family "Bacterial small subunit ribosomal RNA", at positions 524 to 776 of the family's 1533-position model. The record is from RNAcentral.